Molecule: non-coding RNA, 85 nt
Organism: Obba rivulosa
Lineage: Eukaryota; Fungi; Basidiomycota; Agaricomycetes; Polyporales; Gelatoporiaceae
Source: the annotation of a GenBank genome assembly
GGGCAUGUGGUGUAGUUGGUUAUCACGCUCGCUUAGCAUCGACUGUGGUUGCGAGAGGGGUCCGGUUCGAUCCCGGACAUGUCCA